GAUGAACGCUGGCGGCGUGCCUAAUACAUGCAAGUCGAGCGCUCGAACGAGAAGUUUGCUUUUCUGAUGUUAGCGGCGGACGGGUGAGUAACACAUGUAUAACCUACCGAUAAGACUGGGAUAACUUCGGGAAGCCGGAGCUAAUACCAGAAAAUCUGUUGAACCGCAUGGUCCAAUAAUGAAAGACGACCUUGCUGUCACUUAUAGAUGGUUCCGUGCUUCAUUGGCUAGUUGGUAAGGUAACGGCUUACCAAGGCAACGCUCCAUAGCCGACCUGGGAGGGUGAUCGGCAACACUGGAACUGAGCCACGGCCCAGCCUCUACCGGGAGGAGGCAGAAGGGAACUUCCGGAAAUGGGCGAAAGCUUGCCGGAGCACCGCCGGGGGAGUGAUGAAGGUCUUCGGAUCGAAAAACUGUGUUAUUAGGGAAGAAGAGAGGUGGAAGUAACUGUGCACACCGUGACGGUACCUAACCAGAAAGCCACGGCUAACUACGUG
RNAcentral lists this ribosomal RNA (497 nucleotides) under uncultured bacterium. Its description in RNAcentral is "partial 16S ribosomal RNA". It matches the Rfam family "Bacterial small subunit ribosomal RNA", at positions 28 to 507 of the family's 1533-position model. The record is from RNAcentral.